GUCUAUAGCCAUGCUACCCUGAACAAGCCCGGUCCCGUCUGAUCUCAGAAGCUUAGCAGGGUUGGGCUUCAUUAGUACUUAGAUGGGAGACCACCUAGGAAGACCAGGGGCGGUAGGCG
Non-coding RNA from Pteropus alecto (black flying fox), 119 nucleotides. The record is from Rfam. Lineage: Eukaryota; Metazoa; Chordata; Mammalia; Chiroptera; Pteropodidae.